AUGGCGCUCGCGCCCGGCUCCAGCGGCGCCUCCGUACGCUGGCUGCCGUCCUACACCGCGGUUGCGCGCUCACCUCCGUCCCACUGCGGCCACAUGCUGGGCGCCCCCGUCUACCUGGGCUUCCGCGUCGACGGUGAGUGCCGCAACCCGUCGUUUGCCAACUACUACUACGAGGACGUCGAGGAGGACACGCCGCCGUCGUACUCCCCGGGGGCCCCCUCUCCUCCAUCCCAGUGCGGCCUCAUGCUCGGAGACCCCUUUCCCCCGAGCUUCGGCGGCCGCCGCGGGUGCCACAACCCGUCGUCUGCCGACCACUACGAGGAGGACAUGACACCGUCGUACACCCCGGGUGCGCCCUCGCCGCCGUCCCAUUACGGCCUCAUGCUGAAGUCCACGGACGCCGCCUUCUUUCCGGGCUCCGGCGUCGGCAGCGAGUGCCAUAGCCAGUCGUCUGUCCAGCGCAACGAGGAGCACACGCCGUCGAGCCCUCCCCCGCUCGCGAGCUCCAAGGAUUGCACUCCGUCGAGCCCUCUGCCGUCGCCGGGCUAUACUCCGUCGGACACGGAGUCGUGCACGUCGCCGUAUUACACACCAUCGACCCCGACGCCCAGCACGCCGGCUCCGUCGCCCCUGGUGUCCGAAGCCGAGUCAUCCACGUCUGCACCGCGCCGCCGCCACCAUCCGUACCAGAGGAGUGGCGCCAGCAGAAUCAACCGCGGAGGACGGCAGCAGACCUUGAGAUAUUGA
Molecule: ribosomal RNA, 747 nt
Filed under: Triticum aestivum (bread wheat)
Lineage: Eukaryota; Viridiplantae; Streptophyta; Magnoliopsida; Poales; Poaceae
Description: partial small subunit ribosomal RNA
Source: RNAcentral